CUCUCUAUUUGUGUUUUUUUUGGUCAGG
This 28-nucleotide small RNA is filed under the name Bombyx mori (domestic silkworm). Its description in RNAcentral is "ovarian small RNA-14703". Lineage: Eukaryota; Metazoa; Arthropoda; Insecta; Lepidoptera; Bombycidae. The record is from RNAcentral.